AGCGAACGCUGGCGGCGUACUUAACACAUGCAAGUCGAACGGGGAUCGUCAGUGUAGCAAUACAUCGGCGGUUCUAGUGGCGCACGGGUGAGUAACACGUGGGUAACCUGCCCUUGAGUUCGGGAUACCCUUUCGAAAGGAAGGCUAAUACCGGAUACGUUCCUCGGAUUGCCAAAUCUGGGGAGGAAAGGUGGCGCAAGCUGCCGCUCUUGGAGGGGCUCGCGGCCUAUCAGCAGUUGGUGAGGUAACGGCUCACCAAGGCUAUGACGGGUAGCUGGUCUGAGAGGACGACCAGCCACACGGGAACUGAGACACGGUCCGGACUCCUACGGGAGGCAGCAGUGGGGAAUAUUGGACAAUGGGGCAACCCUGAUCCAGCGACGCCGCGUGGUGAAGAAGGCCUGCGGGUUGUAAAGCCCUUUCGGUGGGGAAGAAAGUCUCGACCUAAUACGUCGGGACCUUGACGUAACCCACU
This 475-nucleotide ribosomal RNA is filed under the name uncultured bacterium. RNAcentral describes it as "bacterial SSU rRNA". It matches the Rfam family "Bacterial small subunit ribosomal RNA", at positions 29 to 483 of the family's 1533-position model. The record is from RNAcentral.